CUACGGGGGGCUGCAGUGGGGAAUUUUGCGCAAUGGGCUAACGCCUGACGCAGCAAUACCGCGUGAGUGAAGAAGGCCUUUGGGUCGUAAAGCUCUUUUCUAAGGGAAGAUAGUGACGGUACCUUAGGAAUAAGCACCGGCUAACUCCGUGCCAGCAGCCGCGGUAAUACGGAGGGUGCGAGCGUUGUUCGGAUUUACUGGGCGUAAAGGGCACGUAGGCGGCAUAGCAAGUUAAGGGUGAAAUCCCGGGGCUCAACUCCGGAACUGCUCUUAAAACUGCUAAGCUAGAGAUAGUCAGAGGCGGGUGGAAUUCCUGGUGUAGAGGUGAAAUUCGUAGAUAUCAGGAGGAACACCGGUGGCGAAGGCGGCCCGCUGGGGCUAUUCUGACGCUAAGGUGCGAAAGCGUGGGGAGCGAACGGGAUUAGAUACCCCAGUAGUC
Molecule: ribosomal RNA, 439 nt
Filed under: uncultured bacterium
Lineage: Bacteria
Description: partial 16S ribosomal RNA
Rfam family: Bacterial small subunit ribosomal RNA
Source: RNAcentral